GACGAACGCUGGCGGCGUGCUUAACACAUGCAAGUCGAACGGAAAGGCCCUGCUUUUGUUGUGUGCUCGAGUGGCGAACGGGUGAGUAACACGCGAGUAACCUGCCCUUGACUUUGGGAUAACUUCAGGAAACUGGGGCUAAUACCGGAUAGGAUCUCCUGCUGCAUGGUGUGGGUUGGAAAGUUUCGGCGGUUGGGGAUGGACUCGCGGCUUAUCAGCUUGUUGGUGGGGUAGUGGCUUACCAAGGCUUUGACGGGUAGCCGGCCUGAGAGGGUGACCGGCCACAUUGGGACUGAGAUACGGCCCAGAAUCCUACGGGAGGCAGCAGGGGGGAAUAUUGCACAAUGGGCGGAAGCCUGAUGCAGCAACGCCGCGUGCGGGAUGACGGCCUUCGGGUUGUAAACCGAUGUCGCAUGUGACGAAGCGUGAGUGACGGUAAUGGGUAAAGAAGCAACGGCUAACUACGUG
RNAcentral lists this ribosomal RNA (468 nucleotides) under uncultured bacterium. RNAcentral describes it as "partial 16S ribosomal RNA". It matches the Rfam family "Bacterial small subunit ribosomal RNA", at positions 28 to 507 of the family's 1533-position model. The record is from RNAcentral.